Molecule: ribosomal RNA, 445 nt
Filed under: uncultured bacterium
Lineage: Bacteria
Description: bacterial SSU rRNA
Rfam family: Bacterial small subunit ribosomal RNA
Source: RNAcentral
GUAAGGAAUAUUGGACAAUGGACGCAAGUCUGAUCCAGCCAUGCCGCGUGAAGGAUUAAGGUCCUCUGGAUUGUAAACUUCUUUUAUAAGGGACGAAAAAAGGCUUUUCUAAGUCGUCUGACGGUACCUUAUGAAUAAGCACCGGCUAACUCCGUGCCAGCAGCCGCGGUAAUACGGAGGGUGCAAGCGUUAUCCGGAUUCACUGGGUUUAAAGGGUGCGUAGGCGGGCAGGUAAGUCAGUGGUGAAAUCCUAGAGCUUAACUCUAGAACUGCCAUUGAUACUAUCUGUCUUGAAUAUUGUGGAGGUAAGCGGAAUAUGUCAUGUAGCGGUGAAAUGCUUAGAUAUGACAUAGAACACCUAUUGCGAAGGCAGCUUACUACGCAUAUAUUGACGCUGAGGCACGAAAGCGUGGGGAUCAAACAGGAUUAGAAACCCCUGUAGUCC